RNAcentral lists this transfer RNA (30 nucleotides) under Salvelinus albus (white char). RNAcentral describes it as "partial tRNA-Glu". The record is from RNAcentral. Lineage: Eukaryota; Metazoa; Chordata; Actinopteri; Salmoniformes; Salmonidae.
GUUCUUGUAGUUGAAUAACAACGGUGGUUU